This 402-nucleotide ribosomal RNA is filed under the name Verrucomicrobiota bacterium. RNAcentral describes it as "Verrucomicrobia bacterium partial 16S ribosomal RNA". It matches the Rfam family "Bacterial small subunit ribosomal RNA", at positions 355 to 776 of the family's 1533-position model. Lineage: Bacteria; Pseudomonadati; Verrucomicrobiota. The record is from RNAcentral.
UGGGGAAUUUUGCACAAUGGGGGAAACCCUGAUGCAGCGACGCCGCGUGAUUUAGAAGGCCUUCGGGUUGUAAAAAUCUUUUGUAUGGGAAGAAAAUGACAGUACCAUACGAAUAAGGACCGGCUAAUUACGUGCCAGCAGCCGCGGUAAUACGUAAGGUCCGAGCGUUGUCCGGAAUCAUUGGGCGUAAAGGGUACGUAGGCGGAUAAGCGAGUUAGAAGUGAAAUCCUAUAGCUCAACUAUAGUAAGCUUUUAAAACUGCUCAUCUUGAGGUAUGGAAGGGAAAGUGGAAUUCCUAGUGUAGCGGUGAAAUGCGCAGAUAUUAGGAGGAAUACCGGUGGCGAAGGCGACUUUCUGGCCAUAUACUGACGCUGAGGUACGAAAGCGUGGGUAGCAAACAGG